This 1371-nucleotide long non-coding RNA is filed under the name Lepidothrix coronata (blue-crowned manakin). RNAcentral's name for it is "lncRNA (ENSLCOG00000009807.1)". The record is from RNAcentral. Lineage: Eukaryota; Metazoa; Chordata; Aves; Passeriformes; Pipridae.
UUAAUAUAUGAAAUAGACUGGUUUUCUUUAUUUUAAAAUCAAGUACAUAUAAUUUCUCUCUCUCUUUUUUUUUCUCAGAGAUACAUCCUGCUGUGAAACCAAAUGUAAUCAGGUCAACACCAAGCCUUCAAAGUCCAAGUGCAAAACGAUUACUUGCACCCUCCAAUCACUCUUCAUUAAGUAUUUUGGGAAAAAGAAACUACAGCCAUCAUAAUGGUCUUGAUGAAUCAUCCAGCCAUACAACAAGAACAAUAAUGCAUGCUGCUCCCCAUAUCCAUAUGACCAAUGGUAAGGCCUUGCAAGCCAGUGCAAGUGCCAUUAAGACAAGUACCAUUCCAGUGAUCAAGAGACAGAGGCAAAAUUGGCUUGAUGCUUCAGAAGAUGGUUUCUUUAUAGCUACAGAAGAGACCAGAAAAAUCCGUAAGAAGUUCACCAGAUCACAGCUGAAAAGAGCUUCCAGAACACCUUGUUCUUCAAUCAUUGCAAAGACAAAGUCUCUCAUGAACAAUAGGCAGGCACGAACAGAGCCAGGAACCAUCAUGCACUGAAGAUAUAACAGCAUCAGCACCAUAAUAAUGUCAAAAUCAUGUUUAAUUGUGAAUGCAGAUACAACAGUACUUCACACAUCUUUGAGACAGAAACACUAUAUGGACGUAUUGUGGCUGGGUUGUGUGUUCUGGGCAGGAUCCAACAGCAGCCCUUGUUUUCCCUCACCUCUGCAAGGGCUACUUCUGGUUCACUGUGCAGGCCUAACCUGGAUUCCCUCUAUUCCCAAUCAUCAGUGUUAGCUGAUGAGGGAGGAACUGUUUGCACUGACCACACUGAAGGAGUAUGGAUGCAGAGUCCACCCACCACAUUUGUCUAUGCCUCCUAGUGGCUCAAUACAAAAAUAUGCAGCUUUCAAAACUAUUGCAGUGUCUUUAAAGUGGGAUUUAGCCUUGAGGGGUUGCAUUUCAAAAACAACUACAAACUUCGUUGAUAUUUUUCAGUAUUGGUUUGAGUCACUUUGGGUUUGAUUUUCUGAACUGCUGAGCAUCCAGACCCUGAAACAAGGACAAGGUGUUGUUUAGCAGUUCUGAAACUUUGAUUGAAUUAGGAAGUGCCCAUAACUAGUGGCAAAUUUUUAAAAGGUAGGCCAUAUUAGCUUUGAUUAAAAUCCUGGAAAGUAUUAUGUGUGGCUGUGAACAUCCAGCUGGACUAGUUGCAUGUGUAAGAGCUAGUCCUAUUGUCUGUAUAUUUGCAAGCAUCCACUUAUUUCUUUGGGUAUUUUUUGCAUUUCUUGAAGUCUAUUCUGAAUAGUGAAAACCAGCAGAACACCAUUCCCAGAAAACAUGAAGAAAUAAACUAUUUCCUAUUAGAAAUGUCUCUCCA